This 911-nucleotide ribosomal RNA is filed under the name uncultured bacterium. RNAcentral describes it as "bacterial SSU rRNA". It matches the Rfam family "Bacterial small subunit ribosomal RNA", at positions 8 to 916 of the family's 1533-position model. The record is from RNAcentral.
AGAGUUUGAUCAUGGCUCAGAACGAACGCUGGCGGCGCGCCUAAUACAUGCAAGUCGAGCGAGAAGACGUAGCAAUACGUUUGUAAAGCGGCGAACGGGUGAGGAAUACAUGGGUAACCUACCCUUGAGUGGGGAAUAACUAGCCGAAAGGUUAGCUAAUACCGCAUACGACUCUCGGUCUGCGGAUCGGGAGAGAAAGCGAUACCGUGGGUAUCGCGCUCUUGGAUGGGCUCAUGUCCUAUCAGCUUGUUGGUGAGGUAACGGCUCACCAAGGCUUCGACGGGUAGCUGGUCUGAGAGGACGAUCAGCCACACUGGCACUGCGACACGGGCCAGACUCCUACGGGAGGCAGCAGUAAGGAAUAUUGCGCAAUGGGCGACAGCCUGACGCAGCGACGCCGCGUGGGGGAUGAAGGUCUUCGGAUUGUAAACCCCUUUCGGCAGGGAAGAUGGAACGGGUAACCGUUCGGACGGUACCUGCAGAAGCAGCCACGGCUAACUUCGUGCCAGCAGCCGCGGUAAUACGAAGGUGGCAAGCGUUGUUCGGAUUUACUGGGCGUACAGGGAGCGUAGGCGGUUGGGUAAGCCCUCCGUGAAAUCUCCGGGCCUAACCCGGAAAGGGCGGAGGGGACUGCUCGGCUAGAGGAUGGGAGAGGAGCGCGGAAUUCCCGGUGUAGCGGUGAAAUGCGUAGAGAUCGGGAGGAAGGCCGGUGGCGAAGGCGGCGCUCUGGAACAUUUCUGACGCUGAGGCUCGAAAGCGUGGGGAGCAAACAGGAUUAGAUACCCUGGUAGUCCACGCCUUAAACGAUGGAUACUAAGUGUCGGCGGGUUACCGCCGGUGCCGCAGCUAACGCAGUAAGUAUCCCGCCUGGGAAGUACGGCCGCAAGGUUGAAACUCAAAUGAAUUGACGG